AGUGAACGCUGGCGGCGUGCUUAACACAUGCAAGUCGAACGCGAAAGGGUAGCAAUACCCGAGUAGAGUGGCGAACGGGUGAGUAAUAUGUGGGUAAUUUGCCUUUUAGAGGGGGAUAACCCGGCGAAAGCUGAGCUAAUACCCCAUAACAUCACAGUGUCCUCGGACGUUGUGAUCAAAUGAUGGCCUCUAUUUAUAAGCUAUCGCUAGAAGAUGAGCCCACAUCCUAUCACGCUUGUUGGUGGGGUAAUGGCCCACCAAGGCGACGACGGGUAGCCGGCCUGAGAGGGUGUCCGGCCACACUGGAACUGAGACACGGUCCAGACUCCUACGGGAGGCAGCAGUGGGGAAUUUUUCGCAAUGGGCGAAAGCCUGACGAAGCAACGCCGCGUGGAGGAUGACGGCCCUCGUGGUCUUAAACUCCUGUCUAGCGGGACGAAAGUAUUGGAGGUGAAUAAUCUCCGAUAUUGACUGUACCGCUGGAGGAAGCUCCGGCCAACUCCGUGCCAGCAGCCGCGGUAAUACGGAGGGAGCAAGCGUUACUCGGAAUUAUUGGGCGUAAAGGGCGCGUAGGCGAUCUGACAAGUCUGGUGUGAAAGCCCACAUGUUAACUGUGGAAGUGCAUUAGAAACUGUUGGAUU
Molecule: ribosomal RNA, 641 nt
Filed under: uncultured Acidobacteriaceae bacterium
Lineage: Bacteria; Pseudomonadati; Acidobacteriota; Terriglobia; Terriglobales; Acidobacteriaceae
Description: bacterial SSU rRNA
Rfam family: Bacterial small subunit ribosomal RNA
Source: RNAcentral